UUGGAGGGCAAGUCUGGUGCCAGCAGCCGCGGUAAUUCCAGCUCCAAUAGCGUAUAUUAAAGUUGUUGCAGUUAAAAAGCUCGUAGUUGAAUUUCGGGAUCAAUAUUUCGGUCAUGCCGUUGGUAUGCACUGUUAUCAUUGAUUUCUCACCUUCUAAAGAACCGUAAUGCCAUUAAUUUGGUGUUACGGGGAAUUAGGACUGUUACCUUGAAAAAAUUAGAGUGUUUAAAGCAGGCUCACGCUUGAAUACAUUAGCAUGGAAUAAUGAAAUAGGACAUCCGAUUCUAUUUUGUUGGUUUCUAGGAUCGAUGUAAUGAUUAAUAGGGAUAGUUGGGGGCAUUAGUAUUCAAUUGUCAGAGGUGAAAUUCUUGGAUUUAUUGAAGACUAACUACUGCGAAAGCAUUUGCCAAGGAUGUUUUCAUUAAUCAAGAACGAAAGUUAGGGGAUCGAAGACGAUCAGAUACCGUCGCAGUCUUAACCAUAAACUAUGCCGACUAGGGAUCGGAUGAUGUUAAUUUUUUAAUGACUCAUUCGGCGCCUUACGGGAAAC
RNAcentral lists this ribosomal RNA (550 nucleotides) under Funneliformis mosseae. Its description in RNAcentral is "SSU rRNA". It matches the Rfam family "Eukaryotic small subunit ribosomal RNA", at positions 548 to 1098 of the family's 1831-position model. Lineage: Eukaryota; Fungi; Glomeromycota; Glomeromycetes; Glomerales; Glomeraceae. The record is from RNAcentral.